RNAcentral lists this ribosomal RNA (457 nucleotides) under uncultured bacterium. RNAcentral describes it as "partial 16S ribosomal RNA". It matches the Rfam family "Bacterial small subunit ribosomal RNA", at positions 339 to 795 of the family's 1533-position model. The record is from RNAcentral.
CUACGGGUGGCUCCAGUAGGGAAUUUUCGGCAAUGGGGGAAACCCUGACCGAGCAACGCCGCGUGAAUGACGAAGUACUUCGGUAUGUAAAGUUCUUUUAUUAGGGAAGAAUGGCAGGUGGAAAAACCUGAUUGACGGUACCUAAUGAAUAAGCCCCGGCUAACUAUGUGCCAGCAGCCGCGGUAAUACAUAGGGGGCAAGCGUUAUCCGGAAUUAUUGGGCGUAAAGGGUGCGUAGGUGGUUAUUUAAGUCUUUGGUGUAAGUGCAGUGCUUAACGCUGUGAUGCUAAAGAAACUGGGUAACUCGAGUGUGGUAGAGGCAAGUGGAAUUCCAUGUGUAGCGGUAAAAUGCGUAAAUAUAUGGAGGAACACCAGUGGCGAAGGCGGCUUGCUGGGCCACAACUGACACUGAGGCACGAAAGCGUGGGGAGCAAACAGGAUUAGAUACCCUCGUAGUC